UGGGGAAUUUUGGACAAUGGGCGAAAGCCUGAUCCAGCAAUGCCGCGUGUGUGAAGAAGGCCUUCGGGUUGUAAGCACUUUUGUCCGGAAAGAAAUCCUUGGCUCUAAUACAGUCGGGGGAUGACGGUACCGGAAGAAUAAGCACCGGCUAACUACGUGCCAGCAGCCGCGGUAAUACGUAGGGUGCAAGCGUUAAUCGGAAUUACUGGGCGUAAAGCGUGCGCAGGCGGUUUGCUAAGACCGAUGUGAAAUCCCCGGGGCUCAACCUGGGAACUGCAUUGGUGACUGGCAGGCUAGAGUAUGGCAGAGGGGGGUAGAAUUCCACGUGUAGCAGUGAAAUGCGUAGAGAUGUGGAGGAAUACCGAUGGCGAAGGCAGCCCCCUGGGCCAAUACUGACGCUCAUGCACGAAAGCGUGGGGGAGCAAAACAGGAUUAGAUACCCCUGGUAGUCCACGCCCUAAACGAUGUCAACUAGUUGUUGGGGAUUCAUUCCUUAGUAACGUAGCUAACGCGUGAAGUUGACCGCCUGGGGGAAGUACGGUCGCAAGAUUAAAACUCAAAU
This 562-nucleotide ribosomal RNA is filed under the name uncultured bacterium. RNAcentral describes it as "partial 16S ribosomal RNA". It matches the Rfam family "Bacterial small subunit ribosomal RNA", at positions 355 to 906 of the family's 1533-position model. The record is from RNAcentral.